AUGGCAGUGGCGGCGGCGGCAGCGUCGGCGUCCUCCGUCGGCCCCGACCCGUCCUCGUCGUCCGUGGCGCACCGGCGCCGCCUCACCGACGUCGAGCGGCCGGACGACGGCGACGGCUGCGUCAGGCACCGCGGGGUCCGGGCGUUGUUCUCCGUCCGGAGGAGCUACGGCAAGAGGGCGUCGUCCGUGGUCGACCAGGCGUGGGUGCGCAACGCGGUGGCGUCGCUGCUGGGCCUCCUCGUCCUCGUCGGGCUCCUCGGCUCGCACCGGGCCGUCGGCGGCGGCGGCGGCGGCGACGGCGACGGCGGGAGGCUGCUGCGGAGGGUGGACGGGGAGGCGCUGGGCUGGCGGGAGGAGAACCUGACGGCCCUCGCCCGCCGGUCGCCCGACACGCCGAUUCCCAAUAUAUGGACGAUGCCGGCUAGCGAGGGUUACAGCAAAUGCAUCGAACGCCCGAGAAACCACCACAGAACAAACAAUGCAACAGCUGGUUAUAUAAUGGUUGAUGCCAAUGGUGGACUGAACCAGAUGAGAAUGGGAAUAAGCGAUAUGGUUGCAGUUGCUAAGCUCAUGAAUGCGACACUAGUAAUCCCUACACUGGAUCACAGAUCAUUUUGGACCGAUCCAAGUGAUUUCGAAGAUAUAUUUGAUGUGGAGCAUUUCAAGAAAACUCUAGAGAAUGAUAUUGUGAUUGUGGACUCCUUGCCACCAGCUUACAGAAGGUCGAAACUCUAUAUGAGGGCACCAUCUUCCUGGUCCAGGGCUUCUUACUACAGAGCUUUCACGAGGACACUAAAGAAGGUCAAAGUUGUUAAAUUCACACAUACAGAUUCACGAAUUGUCAACAACGGUCUUGCUCCUCAUAUCCAACAACUCCGCUGCCGAACGAAUUACGAGGCACUAAAAUACAAGAAAGAAAUUGAAGAUCUAGGUAAUACUCUAGUUGAUAGACUGAGGAAUGGGUCCAACCAUUAUAUCGCACUUCAUUUAAGAUAUGAGAAGGACAUGCUCUCAUUUACUGGCUGCAGCCAUAAUCUAACACGUCAGGAGGCAGAAGAGCUGAGAGAAAUGAGACUCAAGGUGCGGCACUGGAAAGAAAAGGAAAUUAACAGCAAGGAGAGGCGACUUCAAGGAGGCUGCCCUAUGACUCCUCGUGAAGCAGCUCUUUUUCUUAAAGCUAUGGGCUAUCCUUCCACGACAAAUAUCUACAUUGUAGCAGGUGAAAUAUAUGGUGGGCAUAGCAUGGACGAAUUAAAGGCCGCAUAUCCAAAUGUCUACACACAUUAUAGUCUAGCAACAGUAGAUGAAUUAGAGCCCCUCAAGCCGUACCAAAACAGAUUAGCUGCAGUGGACUACAAUGUAGCCCUCCACAGUGAUGUUUUUGUGUAUACAUAUGACGGAAAUAUGGCCAAAGCAGUACAGGGUCAUAGAAGAUUUGAAGGAUUCCGGACAACCAUUAACCCUGACAGGCAGAAGCUUGUGGAGCUCAUUGACAAGCUUGAUGAGGGUACAAUUACUUGGAAUGACUUUCAAAGCAAAGUGAAAACACAUCAUGAAAACAGACUUGGAGGUCCAUAUCAGAGGUUGUCUGGUCACAGUCCCAGGCAAGAGGAGCAUUUUUAUGCAAAUCCUCUCCCAGGGUGCUUGUGCAAAAAAACACAAAGGAUUUAG
RNAcentral lists this ribosomal RNA (1671 nucleotides) under Triticum aestivum (bread wheat). Its description in RNAcentral is "partial small subunit ribosomal RNA". The record is from RNAcentral. Lineage: Eukaryota; Viridiplantae; Streptophyta; Magnoliopsida; Poales; Poaceae.